GGAGAGGCCAACAGAUGAGGGAGCCAUUUUUCUGCAAUGGAAUUAAAUGGCCAAGUGGGACUCACACUUGGAAGAAUGAAGAAGACCUUUUAAAAAGAUCUGGAUUUUUCCUUAUGACUUGGAAUCCAUCUUUGUCUUGUAUAACUAGGUCAUAGCACACUAUUAAUGUCAGCAGUUAACAGUUUUGAAUUCAAAAAAACCUAAAGCACUAAACAGCCCUCAGCGAAGCCGCCUUUAUGCCAGCCAAACCCUGGAAAGUUUGCAGUCGUGGAAGGAGCAGAAAUACCACGAGUGUAACUUACAAAGAAGGUCUUGGCUGGAGACCGGAGCCAUGUCUGUGUUAUCCCCACUGUAGACAAUCCUUGCUUCCUCUGGACAUCUGGAGCAGGCCCAAUUUGACUGACAGCCUUCCCCACUAAGGAAUUCCUGGACAAUGGAGAGUGCCCCAGGCCCCCUGAACAUCUUGCUGAUGAGGGAGUAAAGCCACCCUGGGUGGGUGAGUGUGUAUCUCAGCUCGACCUCUGAGGAGGCUCUCACCAGCAGCUGGCUAGAUUCCUGGUUAUUUUUAGUUACAGAUACAGCCCCACCAUCACCACCAGAGUUGAGUCCAAAUCCAACACUCUAGGCCGGGUAGUGCUGGGGCUUUGCCAGCCUCCUGCUGAGGUAGGGCUGGGUGAGUAGGCAGGCUGAAAUGGGUGAGGUGGCCAUGUGCUGCCUGAACCCUCCCCAGAGCUGGUUGCUUUUGGUCAUUUCCUCCCUGCAGACUUGCUCUGUCACUGUCACAGAGGGUGGAGAGUGCACACGCAGGUCUGGGGGAGUUUGUGGGAAGCCAGGAGCCCUCUCUUGG
This 847-nucleotide long non-coding RNA is filed under the name Mus caroli (Ryukyu mouse). RNAcentral describes it as "lncRNA (MGP_CAROLIEiJ_G0006189.1)". Lineage: Eukaryota; Metazoa; Chordata; Mammalia; Rodentia; Muridae. The record is from RNAcentral.